AUUGAACGCUGGCGGCAGGCUUAACACAUGCAAGUCGAGCGGGGUGAUGGUGCUUGCACUAUCACUUAGCGGCGGACGGGUGAGUAAUGCUUAGGAAUCUGCCUAUUAGUGGGGGACAACAUCUCGAAAGGGAUGCUAAUACCGCAUACGUCCUACGGGAGAAAGCAGGGGAUCACUUGUGACCUUGCGCUAAGAGAUGAGCAUAAGUCGGAUUAGCUAGUUGGUGGGGUAAAGGCCUACCAAGGCGACGAUCUGUAGCGGGUCUGAGAGGAGGAUCCGCCACACUGGGACUGAGGCACGUCCCAGACUCCUACGGGAGGCAGCAGUGGGGAAUAUUGGACAAUGGGGGGAACCCUGAUCCAGCCAUGCCGCGUGUGUGAAGAAGGCCUUAUGGUUGUAAAGCACUUUAAGCGAGGAGGAGGCUCUUUUGGUUAAUACCCAAGAUGAGUGGACGUUACUCGCAGAAUAAGCACCGGCUAACUCUGUGCCAGCCGCCGCAGUAA
This 503-nucleotide ribosomal RNA is filed under the name uncultured bacterium. RNAcentral describes it as "partial 16S ribosomal RNA". It matches the Rfam family "Bacterial small subunit ribosomal RNA", at positions 30 to 523 of the family's 1533-position model. The record is from RNAcentral.